GUGAUGUGUGAAAGGAGAGAAGGUUAGCACUCUCUUUGCUUCACAAGGAUGGAAGAGGCUCUUGGUCCUGACAACACAUGUAUGGGUAAGGCAUUGCCACCUACUCUGUGGCAUCUAACCAUCAUUUUUA
This 130-nucleotide non-coding RNA is filed under the name Suricata suricatta (meerkat). The record is from RNAcentral. Lineage: Eukaryota; Metazoa; Chordata; Mammalia; Carnivora; Herpestidae.